UACGGGGGGGGUAAGCGUUGUUCGGAAUUACUGGGCGUAAAGGGCUCGUAGGCGGCCAACUAAGUCAUACGUGAAAUCCCUCAGCUUAACUGGGGAACUGCGUGUGAUACUGGAUGGCUUGGAUUUGGGAGAGGGAUGCGGAAUUCCAGGUGUAGCGGUGAAAUGCGUAGAUGUCUGGAGGAACACCAGUGGCGAAGGCGGCUCACUGGACCGGAACUGACGCUGAGGCGCGAAAGCGUGGGGAGCAAACAGG
This 253-nucleotide ribosomal RNA is filed under the name uncultured bacterium. RNAcentral's name for it is "partial 16S ribosomal RNA". It matches the Rfam family "Bacterial small subunit ribosomal RNA", at positions 524 to 776 of the family's 1533-position model. The record is from RNAcentral.